The sequence is a non-coding RNA, 955 nucleotides long. It matches the Rfam family "Bacterial small subunit ribosomal RNA".
CACAGGUUUGGUCCCAGCCUUCCCGUUAACCCUCAAUAAACUUACACAUGCAAGCAUCCACACCCCGGUGAAAAUACCCUCUAGGUCAAUAAGACCAAGAGGAGUGGGUAUCAAGCACACACUUGUAGCUCAUGACGCCUUGCUAAACCACACCCCCACGGGAGACAGCAGUGACAAAAAUUAAGCUAUGAACGAAAGUUUGACUAAGUUAUAUUGAUUAGGGUUGGUAAAUCUCGUGCCAGCCACCGCGGUCAUACGAUUAACCCAAGCUAACAGGAAAACGGCGUAAAACGUGUUUAAGCGCUAUAACAAAUAGAGUUAAAUUUUAAUUAAACUGUAAAAAGCCAUAAUUAUAAUAAAAAUAAACUACGAAAGUGACUCUAAAAAAGCUGACACACUAUAGCUAAGACCCAAACUGGGAUUAGAUACCCCACUAUGCUUAGCCCUAAACAUAAAUGAUUACUAAAACAAGAUUAUUCGCCAGAGUACUACAGGCAACAGCCUAAAACUCAAAGGACUUGGCGGUGCUUUAUACCCUUCUAGAGGAGCCUGUUCUAUAAUCGAUAAACCCCGAUAAACCUCACCAGUCCUUGCUAAUACAGUCUAUAUACCGCCAUCUUCAGCAAACCCUAAAAAGGAAUAAAAGUAAGCAUAAUUAUUAAUACAUAAAAACGUUAGGUCAAGGUGUAACCUAUGGACUGGGAAGAAAUGGGCUACAUUUUCUACCCUAAGAAUAUCAACACGAAAGUCAUUAUGAAAUUAAUGACCAAAGGAGGAUUUAGUAGUAAACUAAGAAUAGAGUGCUUAGUUGAAUUAGGCCAUGAAGCACGCACACACCGCCCGUCACCCUCCUCAAAUAAUCAAAACGCACUAAAGCCUACUUACACACGUUAAUAAUAUGAGAGGAGACAAGUCGUAACAAGGUAAGCAUACUGGAAAGUGUGCUUGGACAAAU